RNAcentral lists this small RNA (126 nucleotides) under Enterobacter sp. ENT03. RNAcentral describes it as "RtT sRNA". It matches the Rfam family "RtT RNA". From Rfam's summary of the family: This family represents a bacterial cis-regulatory element known as RtT RNA. The exact function of RtT is unknown although it is thought that it may be involved in changing the cellular response in relation to amino acid starvation. Lineage: Bacteria; Pseudomonadati; Pseudomonadota; Gammaproteobacteria; Enterobacterales; Enterobacteriaceae. The record is from RNAcentral.
UUGCUGUGCGUGAAAUGCAGGAUGAGAACCUGCCGCAGGUUCGGGUCGAGCAAAGCGAGACAACGGAGCCGCUGGCGGCGACGGCCCGAAGGGCGAGCGAAGCGAGUCAUCCUGCACGACCCACCA